UAAAUUAAAUAAAAAGCCGUUCGUAUAUCCUCGAAAAUAUGGUUCGAAAGUAUCUACCGGUACACCGUAAAUGUACUGACUAUGAAGGCAAAAUCUAUAUUG
RNAcentral lists this non-coding RNA (102 nucleotides) under Virgibacillus necropolis. RNAcentral describes it as "Guanine sequence". It matches the Rfam family "Purine riboswitch aptamer". Rfam says of the family: Riboswitches are metabolite binding domains within certain messenger RNAs that serve as precision sensors for their corresponding targets. The record is from Rfam by way of RNAcentral. Lineage: Bacteria; Bacillati; Bacillota; Bacilli; Caryophanales; Bacillaceae.